This 421-nucleotide non-coding RNA is filed under the name Pan troglodytes (chimpanzee). The record is from RNAcentral. Lineage: Eukaryota; Metazoa; Chordata; Mammalia; Primates; Hominidae.
CUUUGGGGAGGGGGUGGGAGAGACGACAGGUCUGGGAUCAGGGAGUCUUCAAGGCCCCCGCUGAGGGGACAGCGAAUCUACCAUUGAACCGUGCACAGGGGACAUGGACAAAAUGAGACGCGACAGGGACAAGAGCAUUUUGCUCUGCUUCCAGGAAACAUCAAGUCGACUUCGCUUGAAAAGAUCGAGAAUGGAGGAGGGGAUCGGCACUCACUUGCAGACAUCAACAGUUUCCAGAAAAUUCGGUUCAAUUCCUUCACCACGGACCCACCAACCAAGGAGCUGGCAAAACCCGCUAACCAACCAGGAGAACACAGACCCGGUUUGUCUUUUGACAACCGAGUGGAACUGACGGGGCCGGCGCCUGCCCUGCGGGUCCCCUCCCUUGGCUGAGAAGAAAACCAAAUAAACCUUGAACAGC